CCUACGGGUGGCAGCAGUGAGGAAUAUUGGUCAAUGGACGAGAGUCUGAACCAGCCAAGUAGCGUGAAGGAUGACUGCCCUAUGGGUUGUAAACUUCUUUUAUAUGGGAAUAAAAUGUUCCACGUGUGGGGUUUUGUAUGUACCAUAUGAAUAAGGAUCGGCUAACUCCGUGCCAGCAGACGCGGUAAUACGGAGGAUCUGAGCGUUAUCCGGAUUUAUUGGGUUUAAAGGGAGCGUAGGUGGGUUGUUAAGUCAGGUGUGAAAGUUUGCGGCUCAACCGUAAAAUUGCAGUUGAAACUGGAAGUCUUGAGUACAGUAGAGGUGGGCGGAAUUCGUGGUGUAGCGGUGAAAUGCUUAGAUAUCACGAAGAACACCGAUGGCGAAGGCAGCUUACUGGACUGCAACUGACAUUGAGGCUCGAAAGUGUGGGUAGCAAACAGGAUUAGAUACCCUUGUAGUC
This 460-nucleotide ribosomal RNA is filed under the name uncultured bacterium. RNAcentral describes it as "partial 16S ribosomal RNA". It matches the Rfam family "Bacterial small subunit ribosomal RNA", at positions 338 to 795 of the family's 1533-position model. The record is from RNAcentral.